GAUGAACGCUGGCGGCGUGCUUAACACAUGCAAGUCGAACGAAGCACCUUGAUUCGAUUCUUCGGAUGAAGAUCUUGGUGACUGAGUGGCGGACGGGUGAGUAACGCGUGGGUAACCUGCCUCAUACAGGGGGAUAACAGUUAGAAAUGACUGCUAAUACCGCAUAAGACCACAGCACCGCAUGGUGCAGGGGUAAAAACUCCGGUGGUAUGAGAUGGACCCGCGUCUGAUUAGGUAGUUGGUGGGGUAACGGCCUACCAAGCCGACGAUCAGUAGCCGAGCUGAGAGGGUGACCGGCCACAUUGGGACUGAGACACGGCCCAAACUCCUACGGGAGGCAGCAGUGGGGGAUAUUGCACAAUGGGGGAAACCCUGAUGCAGCGACGCCGCGUGAGCGAUGAAGUAGUUCAGUAUGUAAAGCUCUAUCAGCAGGGAAGAAAAUGACGUUACCUGACUAAGAAGCACCGGCUAAAUACGUG
This 479-nucleotide ribosomal RNA is filed under the name uncultured bacterium. RNAcentral describes it as "partial 16S ribosomal RNA". It matches the Rfam family "Bacterial small subunit ribosomal RNA", at positions 28 to 507 of the family's 1533-position model. The record is from RNAcentral.